CUUUCACCAUAGUAGGAACGUUUAUUUUUCUCACCAUAAGAGACAGAAAUUUACUGUUUACUAAAACCCAGGAACUCAAGGGCCUUCGUCCCUAUUUGCCACCUAUUAGGGCUCCCUGAAUCCACUUGUUCCUUGGCUGAAUUUGGUACAGAUCCUUAGCCGAUAAUUUGCGUAUACGUCAUUUUCUGUCAGAUACGCCAUUGGACACAAUUUGACAUUAAUCGAAGUAGAGCUUGACAGGUAGAGUGCCUACCCGCAUGGAUGUGGUUCGGACACGCUAGUUUGGAAAUGCAACAUUUGCUCUUAAAAAUGGCGGAACACGGACGAUCGUUAUUUUCUUCCUGUUUUGACAACACGUGUUUGCAAUAGCCUGAAUAG
This is a long non-coding RNA of Ylistrum balloti, 378 nucleotides long. RefSeq lists it as uncharacterized. Lineage: Eukaryota; Metazoa; Mollusca; Bivalvia; Pectinida; Pectinidae. The record is from RefSeq and is a predicted model, not a curated record. The transcript has 4 exons.